AGCAGAGAGGAACUGAGGAGCUGGAUUUGAGGCACCAUAUAUCUGCUUUCAAAAGCUGGAAUUUACAAAGUAAAUAGAAGUUUCCUGUUUAAAACUCAUGUGACCAUUAGAGAUCUUACUCGAAAGUAGACAGGGUUACUAGGUGUAUCCCAUAUAAAACUCUUCCUCUGGAUAAUAGAACUGAGCAGAAGUACAUGACUCAGCCUGAGCAAGCUCUUAACAGAUAACACACUAAUCAACAGUUUCACCAAACUGCAGAUAUAAGCAGAAACCAUACCAGAUGGAAACUCCUAAUAGAAAGCAGAAAUAUUCAAAACAUGACUUGACCACGCACAAUUUGAUUCCCUUUUCACUUCAAAAAGGCAGCAAAUUGUAACACUGUAAGCUCUUUAUCUUUUAAAAAUGUAGUAUUUCAGUCUGAUAAGCUGCUAUCUGACCUAGAGGAAGGGAAUAAUUCUGAACCAUUACACCAAGAGCUUGUCCUCUAAAAAGGGAAGAAAGACUGCACUGGGGGUUUAGUGUUUGACAUUGUUAGUCUACACACAAUAUCUGAAAAGUGGAACAAGUCAUAUAAAGGCUUGCCAAGUAAACUGUAAGUUGGCACCCUCCAUACAUCGGGAAACCUGACAUUCAGUUUCACUGUGCUCAGACAGAACAAGCUACAUUUAAAAUCUCAAAUUUCCUAAAUCUGAUUCAGCAAACGAAGACACUGACUUCUCCAGUUUUAAUGCUUUUUGAACCCCCCCUUCAGCUCAAAAAUGUGUUUUUCUUCUUGUUCCUACAAGUUUGAGCUUCACUGUGUAGAAUGAUGUAUGAGAUGUUUGACAAUAGAACGCCUUUUUUCACCUGUCUCACCUGUAUUCAUCUGAUGAGGCGGCCCCCUACAAGCAUGACUUGUGACAUCAUAAAUAUUUCGGAAGGCAAUCUUGAUCCAAUAUUCAGUGUACAUAAGUAUGAUGUGGAAACUUUAAGCCUACAAUGCACAUAUACAUCAGGAAUGGACUUUACAGUGAAGUAGGAGACAUCGUGUUGUUCUGCAUGAAAAAUUGCCAACACAGAAAAGAUAUAUUUUUUAAUGGAAUGGGAAUAGGUUCCAUUUGAAGUAUCUUAUUGUGGCAAAUAUACUUUCUUUUCUGCAAAAACAUGUCACAUAACAGUAAGACGUGUUUUGUAUGUUUUCACCAGCAUAAACUCCACUUCUGUCAUCUUCCAUAGCUGACCAGAAUAUCUAGCGAACCUUCUGACAAUCUGAAGUUUAAAUGGUUGCUGUUAUUAAUCCCCUCUCGUGGUAAACAUACUUCUUUACAUAGCUCAGUGACUCUCUAAUAACUGGUUCCAACAUCUGUUCUUCAAAUUUUAGCUUUACUCAGUCUGCAGUCUAAAACUGCACAUGAGAAGCCACUAUUUACUCAAUAUAGCUACACAACUACAUGCUGGAAGAAAAUGAAGGAUGUGUUAACAAACACCAUCACUGCAGAACAACAGCAUUCAGAGAUUCAGACAAGAUCAUCUAUAAUACCCAACCUUGCAUUUUGUCCUUCUUAGGUUCAGAACUUUAUCUUAGAAGCCUUGGUUACUUCAAUACAGGAGCACAAGCCUAUCUUGGUAAAAGUGACCUCAGCAUGAAAAGCAUAUUUUCAGGCCACACUGAUGAGCCAAAAUUCCUGAAGCAGGCCUGGAUUGUCUGCAAUGUAACCAGUCAGCAAAACUGGAAGUUGAGGACGAAACUGGUUUAAGAAAUGCACAAAUGGAAAUUCACAAGGCCAGUGAUAAAUAGUGUAGAUGAAACAACUUUGACAACCACAGACAGAUUUACCAGUUUUGUUUGAGACUGGGCACCAUCCAAACACUGCAGUACCUGUUGACUCACAUCCGGCCCAGUGUCCCCAGAGCUAAACCUCCAUUAGUCACCAGUUUAUUUAUGUUACAAAGACACUCUGGAAUUUGUCAGCCUUAUCUUUCUUUGGUUUCAAGGACGAUCAAAGACACGUUACAGGACUCACAAAAACUGUAAAAGCAUGUGAAACUGCACAGUCAACGGCUGUUCUAAUGACACAGAACAAACGGCAACAAAGUAACGAACAACAAAUCUGUAAUUUAGAUGAGACAAAAUGAUCCAGUUUAAAAGCUUUAAUCUUG
Acanthopagrus latus (yellowfin seabream) is the source of this 2139-nucleotide long non-coding RNA. RefSeq lists it as uncharacterized. The transcript has 2 exons. The record is from RefSeq and is a predicted model, not a curated record. Lineage: Eukaryota; Metazoa; Chordata; Actinopteri; Spariformes; Sparidae.